AUAACCACAAGAUGGCAGCAUCAUCCUGAUAGCUUUGACUCCACAGACUGAAGUCGAGCAUAGUUACUGAAAUUUAAAAUUCUAGAAACCUUCCUCAAACCUUCGAAACUUCAGGCAGAGGUUAAAACUAUUAAUGAUGAAUCCUGGCAAAUUUUCCAUUGUCUCCAGAUAUCCCUGCUUCCAGUUGAAAACUCUGAUCCUGUGUUGAGGCUGGACCCUGCAGUUUUCUCCACCAGAGCUCAAAGAUUCCCUUGGAGGUGACACCACCACACCUUAACAUCAGUUCUGACACACUGGCUCAUGUGUUGUGCCAUUCGCUGCCCGAGAUGGGUGCUGAGUGAAUGACGAAGGGAUUUGGAUUUACUGCGCCAAAUCAACGACUGGCACAUUGGCAUAAAAUAUUAUAGUAUAUUAAAAAUUAAAUAAUUUUAUUUAUU
This is a long non-coding RNA of Mastomys coucha (southern multimammate mouse), 437 nucleotides long. RefSeq lists it as uncharacterized. The record is from RefSeq and is a predicted model, not a curated record. The transcript is spliced from 2 exons. Lineage: Eukaryota; Metazoa; Chordata; Mammalia; Rodentia; Muridae.